AACAUAUAGUCUACAUUAACUAAAAUGCAUUCCACUUAAUCAUGUUUCCAUCCUCCUUUUAUGCCAGGUAUCAUUAAAACAUUUUAAGAUCCUUCAGUCAAAUUCUGCAGGGAUUGGUGAUCAACGAGAAGGCUCAGAAGUGGACAUCUGAUUGCUUACCUGUCCAGAUUCUCCUGUCUCCCGAGACCUGAAGCCACACCAUGGAUGAUUUUGAACGUCGCAGAGAACUCAGGAGGCAAAAGCGGGAAGAGAUGCGCCUUGAAGCAGAAAGGUAAGGAUCUAAGUUGAACAGGA
Molecule: long non-coding RNA, 294 nt
Filed under: Ursus maritimus (polar bear)
Lineage: Eukaryota; Metazoa; Chordata; Mammalia; Carnivora; Ursidae
Description: lncRNA (ENSUMAG00000014957.1)
Source: RNAcentral